UACGGAGGAUGCGAGCGUUAUCCGGAUUUAUUGGGUUUAAAGGGUGCGCAGGCGGAACUUUAAGUCAGUGGUGAAAUCUUGCCGCUUAACGGUAAAUUGCCAUUGAUACUGAAGUUCUUGAAUAUGGUUGAGGUAGGCGGAAUGUGUUGUGUAGCGGUGAAAUGCAUAGAUAUGACACAGAACGCCAAUUGCGAAGGCAGCUUACUAAGCCAUGAUUGACGCUGAGGCACGAAAGCGUGGGGAGCGAACAGG
RNAcentral lists this ribosomal RNA (252 nucleotides) under uncultured bacterium. RNAcentral describes it as "partial 16S ribosomal RNA". It matches the Rfam family "Bacterial small subunit ribosomal RNA", at positions 524 to 776 of the family's 1533-position model. The record is from RNAcentral.